RNAcentral lists this ribosomal RNA (471 nucleotides) under uncultured bacterium. Its description in RNAcentral is "bacterial SSU rRNA". It matches the Rfam family "Bacterial small subunit ribosomal RNA", at positions 1 to 524 of the family's 1533-position model. The record is from RNAcentral.
UAGAGUUUGAUCCUGGCUCAGAGCGAACGCUGGCGGCAGGCCUAACACAUGCAAGUCGAGCGCCGUAGCAAUACGGAGCGGCAGACGGGAGAGUAACACGUGGGAACGUGCCCUUCAGUUCGGAACAACCCAGGGAAACUUGGGCUAAUACCGGAUACGCCCUUACGGGGAAAGAUUUAUCGCUGAAGGAUCGGCCCGCGUCUGAUUAGCUUGUUGGUGAGGUAACGGCUCACCAAGGCGACGAUCAGUAGCUGGUCUGAGAGGAUGAUCAGCCUCACUGGGACUGAGACACGGCCCAGACUCCUACGGGAGGCAGCAGUGGGGAAUAUUGGACAAUGGGCGCAAGCCUGAUCCAGCCAUGCCGCGUGAGUGAUGAAGGCCUUAGGGUUGUAAAGCUCUUUCGGCGGGGAAGAUAAUGACGGUACCCGCAGAAGAAGCCCCGGCUAACUUCGUGCCAGCAGCCCCGGUCAA